Molecule: ribosomal RNA, 2119 nt
Filed under: Faucicola atlantae
Lineage: Bacteria; Pseudomonadati; Pseudomonadota; Gammaproteobacteria; Moraxellales; Moraxellaceae
Description: bacterial LSU rRNA
Rfam family: Bacterial large subunit ribosomal RNA
Source: RNAcentral
AUAGUUGCAGGGUAUAGACCCGAAACCGAGUGAUCUAUCCAUGAGCAGGUUGAAAGUGACGUAACAGUCACCGGAGGACCGAACCCACUCCCGUUGAAAAGGUAGGGGAUGACUUGUGGAUAGGGGUGAAAGGCUAAUCAAACUCGGUGAUAGCUGGUUCUCCCCGAAAGCUAUUUAGGUAGCGCCUCGGACGGACACCAUGGGGGGUAGAGCACUGUUUCGGCUAGGGGGUCAUCCCGACUUACCAAACCGAUGCAAACUGACGAAUACCCAUGAGUGAUAUCCGGGAGACAGACGGCGGGUGCUAACGUCCGUCGUCAAGAGGGAAACAACCCAGACCGCCAGCUAAGGCCCCAAAUUUCUAGUUAAGUGGGAAACGAUGUGGGAAGGCAUAGACAGCUAGGAGGUUGGCUUAGAAGCAGCCACCCUUUAAAGAAAGCGUAAUAGCUCACUAGUCGAGUCGGCCUGCGCGGAAGAUGUAACGGGGCUCAAACUAGGAGCCGAAGCUGCGGAUUUAAUUGUUUCAAUUAAGUGGUAGGGGAGCAUUGUGUAAGUCUGAGAAGGUGUGUUGUAAAGCAUGCUGGAGAUAUCACAAGAGCGAAUGCUGACGUGAGUAACGACAAAACGGGUGAAAAGCCCGUUCGCCGGAAGACCAAGGGUUCCAGUCCAACGUUAAUCGGGGCUGGGUGAGUCGACCCCUAAGGUGAGGCCGAAAGGCGUAAUCGAUGGGAAAUUGGUUAAUAUUCCAAUACUUGUUUAAGAUGCGAUGGAGGGACGAAGAAGGUUAUGCCAGCCUAGUGAUGGUUAUCUAGGUGGAAGGGUGUAGGUAGGUUUAGUAGGCAAAUCCGCUGAACUAAUACUAAGACCUGAUAGCAAGCCGUAAGGCGAAGUGGCAAAUACCAUGCUUCCAAGAAAAGCUUCUAAGCGAUAGUUUUAAACGAAUCGUACCCGAAACCGACACAGGUGGUCAGGUAGAGAAUACCAAGGCGCUUGAGAGAACUCUGCUGAAGGAACUAGGCAAAAUGGUACCGUAACUUCGGGAGAAGGUACGCUGCCGAUGGUGAGUGAACACGCUUCACAAAGCUAUUGGCAGUCGCAGAUACCAGGUCGCUGCAACUGUUUAUUAAAAACACAGCACUCUGCAAACACGAAAGUGGACGUAUAGGGUGUGAUGCCUGCCCGGUGCUGGAAGGUUAAUUGAUGGGGUUAGCGUAAGCGAAGCCCUUGAUCGAAGCCCCAGUAAACGGCGGCCGUAACUAUAACGGUCCUAAGGUAGCGAAAUUCCUUGUCGGGUAAGUUCCGACCUGCACGAAUGGCAUAAUGAUGGCGACGCUGUCUCCAGCAGAGACUCAGUGAAAUCGAAAUCGCAGUGAAGAUGCUGUGUACCCGCGGCUAGACGGAAAGACCCCGUGAACCUUUACUACAGCUUUACAUUGAACUUUGACCUUACCUGUGUAGGAUAGGUGGGAGGCUUUGAAGCAUGCACGCCAGUGUGUGUGGAGCCGACCUUGAAAUACCACCCUGGUAAUGUUGGGGUUCUAACUUCGGAUUAACAGAUCCAAGGACAAUGUAUGGUGGGUAGUUUGACUGGGGCGGUCUCCUCCUAAAGAGUAACGGAGGAGUACGAAGGUGCGCUCAGAACGGUCGGAAAUCGUUCAAAGAGUAUAAAGGCAGAAGCGCGCUUAACUGCGAGACCCACAAGUCGAGCAGGUACGAAAGUAGGUCUUAGUGAUCCGGUGGUUCUGUAUGGAAGGGCCAUCGCUCAACGGAUAAAAGGUACUCUGGGGAUAACAGGCUGAUACCGCCCAAGAGUUCAUAUCGACGGCGGUGUUUGGCACCUCGAUGUCGGCUCAUCUCAUCCUGGGGCUGAAGCAGGUCCCAAGGGUAUGGCUGUUCGCCAUUUAAAGAGGUACGCGAGCUGGGUUUAGAACGUCGUGAGACAGUUCGGUCCCUAUCUACCGUGGGCGUUGGAAAUUUGAGAGGAUCUGCUCCUAGUACGAGAGGACCAGAGUGGACGAACCUCUGGUGGUUCGGUUGUCACGCCAGUGGCACAGCCGAGUAGCUAUGUUCGGAUGGGAUAACCGCUGAAAGCAUCUAAGCGGGAAGCCCACCUCAAGAU